Molecule: ribosomal RNA, 274 nt
Filed under: uncultured bacterium
Lineage: Bacteria
Description: partial 16S ribosomal RNA
Rfam family: Bacterial small subunit ribosomal RNA
Source: RNAcentral
AUACAGAGGGUGCGAGCGUUAAUCGGAAUUACUGGGCGUAAAGCGCGCGUAGGUGGCUUGAUAAGUCGGAUGUGAAAGCCCUGGGCUCAACCUGGGAACUGCAUUCGAUACUGUCUGGCUAGAGUAUAGUAGAGGGAAGUGGAAUUCCGGGUGUAGCGGUGAAAUGCGUAGAUAUCCGGAGGAACAUCAGUGGCGAAGGCGGCUUCCUGGACCAAUACUGACGCUGAGGUGCGAAAGCGUGGGGAGCAAACAGGAUUAGAAACCCGGGUAGUCC